CCCAGACAGCAAGCCAACAUUGAAUAAACAUUGUUUUUCCAUCUGAAUCAUCAUUAUGGUUGAUAUUGAAAUUUCAAUGCAAAAUAAAUGUUGAAUCACCAUUACCAUAUCGAUGAAAACCUGAUGUUAUUAAUGUUGAUGGCAACAAUAUUGGAACAACAUUGAUCUAUAGUUAUCUUUAUGAUUGAUUAAGCAUUGAUAUUUGGUUACCGCGGGUGAUCCCUGAAUGUGUUGAAAAGUAAUUGAUUUAUAGUGGACAGAGAAACGAUGCGGUUGUUUAAAAGUCAUCGAAAUAUAGUUGACCGGGAAAUAUGAUUGAAAAAGCAUCGAAAUAUAGUUGACCGGGAAAUAUGAUUGAAAAUGCAUCGAAAUAUAGUUGACCGGGAAAUAUGAUUGAAAAUCCCUCGAUUUUUGGUUGACCGGGAGAUCAGCGGGUGGUAUAACUUACCCAACGUACUAAACCGGACACAGCUCGUUUGUGGACCCUUGGCACAAGCGUACAGGUAAGCUUGCUUAAUAUUCGAUAUGAACCCAGACAGCACAGGCACGCGGUGUGUUUUUAUACAGUCUGUGGGCAGCUGAAGAGACUGGCUCAUUUUCAAAUAAUGUUACCGUUAACUUGUUUAGACAACGGUCACGGUAAAUUAAUGUUAAAGCCUUGCGUUUCCAGCAGUUUCUCGGAGGGAAAAUGUAAAAGCGGUUUAUUAAAGAGAAGUCCUGACUGCUUUAUCGUCGUGUUUUUCACUCUUUUACAGGCUGCCAGAAAGAAUCCGUCUCUAUAGUGAGUGAUUAUUGAAUGAGGCUGUACAUUAUAAAUGUAAUGUUUUAACUCGAGAUAUUUGUUUGUGUGAAUGCUGUGUGUGCGGUGAGUUCUGCGCGAGCGGGGAGCAGAGUUGCCAUGGAAACGGGGCGUCAACACAAAAACCGUUACUGGCAAGCGGUAAUCUCCGUCUCUCGCUGCGGUUUACACUGUUUUAGGAUGACAGAAAGAAACUCUACAGAACAAAGUGAAACUCCAAGAUUUUUGAAAAGAAAAUUGGUGAAAUAUAUUCUGAAAAAGGCAUAUUAAUGUAUUUCAUGAGCUUCUUCAGUUCACCUGUAUUUCUAAGUCAGUAUCUCCCUUCAGAAAUGUUGCUGACGGGAGAUACUGACUUAGAAAUACAGGUGAACUCAAAAAGCUCAUGAAAUACUCAUGAAAGAAGCUCAUGAAAUACAUUAAUAUGCCUUUUUCAGAAUAUAUUUCACCAAUUUUAAGAAGUCCCUGACAUCAAAACAUUGCUUGUUUUGUUCCUGGACUCUUCAGUGAUGAUGAGCAGAGUCUGAGUGAACCUGCUGUCAGACAGGUUGGGCCGAUAGACGAUUCCAUCGUCCAUCGUCGAUGGCUGAUAGACAUCACGAUGCUGCGCCAGCAAACAGCGUCAUGAGCUCCAGUAUCUCGUGCGUGCAUCCGUUGUCAUGCAACAGAGAAGUUGCGUCUAUGGACAGUUGUGAACGCGCUGACAGCUGGUUGCCCAGGCUUUGGGUUAAAGGAGCCACCGGUAUUUGGUCCUGUUGUUUUUUUCUCAAAAACCGGCAGCCGCUGACUUGCAUUUAAGAAUCACCAAGGGCAACGGUUUCACCUAAAAACCUUUACUGUUCUACUGCAAAAACCUUGGAUGACCUGAGGAUCACUAUUGCACACCAAAUACUCUUACUCAGCAGAUGGGGACAGCUACCAUCACCCAAUUUACACCCAAAAGUGGCUGCGCUAUGCGCCAGACCGGGGCAGGAGGGACUGGGCGACAACUUAUGCAGGCAUCAGAUGACAGUGAAGUGUAAAUAAAGAGUAGAGAGGCUAAUAAACAUUAAUUUGAUUUUAAA
Carassius gibelio (silver crucian carp) is the source of this 1860-nucleotide long non-coding RNA. RefSeq lists it as uncharacterized. NCBI's taxonomy places the organism in Eukaryota, Metazoa, Chordata, Actinopteri, Cypriniformes, Cyprinidae. The transcript is spliced from 8 exons. The record is from RefSeq and is a predicted model, not a curated record.